RNAcentral lists this ribosomal RNA (464 nucleotides) under uncultured bacterium. RNAcentral describes it as "bacterial SSU rRNA". It matches the Rfam family "Bacterial small subunit ribosomal RNA", at positions 28 to 507 of the family's 1533-position model. The record is from RNAcentral.
GACGAACGCUGGCGGCGUGCCUAACACAUGCAAGUCGAACGGGGUGAUUCCUUCGGGGAUCACUUAGUGGCGAACGGGUGAGUAACGCGUGAGGAACCUGCCUCUCAGUGGGGGACAACAGUUGGAAACGACUGCUAAUACCGCAUAAUGUAGCGAGAUCGCAUGAUCUUGCUACCAAAGCUUUAUGUGCUGAGAGAUGGCCUCGCGUCUGAUUAGCUAGUUGGUGGGGUAACGGCCCACCAAGGCGACGAUCAGUAGCCGGUCUGAGAGGAUGAACGGCCACAUUGGGACUGAGAUACGGCCCAGACUCCUACGGGAGGCAGCAGUGGGGAAUAUUGGGCAAUGGGGGAAACCCUGACCCAGCAACGCCGCGUGAAGGAAGAAGGCCCUCGGGUUGUAAACUUCUUUUACCAGGGACGAAGAACGUGACGGUACCUGGAGAAAAAGCAACGGCUAACUACGUG